GACGGAGGCGAUUUCGUGGUGACCACUGUUCGUCGAAGCUAGAGACAGGAAUAAUUUGGGGCUUUUCGUUAAAUCCCCAAAUUGGAAGUAUGAGUUGCCAGUACUUGCGGGCUGCAAGAUUUAGAUGUGAUCGGACGGUGGCUCGGUCACCAGGAAUCGAAGUUACGCCACCCUGACAAUUUUCUCGCUAUAGAGAGCUGUCUUACCUCUGAAGAAGCCAUUGUUGAGAUCUGUUAUUGGAGAGAGGAGAAAAGAAGACACCGAAAAAUAAAAAUUGCAGCCAACCCCCAUUUGAGUUCUGAAAUCUAGAAGAUGAA
RNAcentral lists this long non-coding RNA (317 nucleotides) under Salvia miltiorrhiza (redroot sage). RNAcentral describes it as "long non-coding RNA (SMIL_LNC009429)". Lineage: Eukaryota; Viridiplantae; Streptophyta; Magnoliopsida; Lamiales; Lamiaceae. The record is from RNAcentral.